GACUACAGCUAUCAGGUGGGCAGAAACAAAGAAUAGCCAUAGCAAGAGCCAUGUUAAAGAACCCUGCGAUACUUCUACUAGAUGAGGCGACGAGUGCGUUAGAUUCUGAGUCAGAGAAGCUUGUGCAAGAAGCUUUGGAUCGUUUCAUGAUCGGGAGAACGACUCUCAUCAUUGCUCAUCGUCUUUCCACCAUACGCAAAGCCAGUGCAAGAAGCUUUGGAUCGUUUCAUGAUCGGAAGGACGACUCUCAUCAUUGCUCAUCGUCUUUCCACCAUACGCAAAGCCGACCUUGUUGCUGUCCUUCAGCAAGGAAGUGUCUCUGAGAUUGGAACGCACGACGAGCUUU
This 346-nucleotide long non-coding RNA is filed under the name Brassica napus (rape). Its description in RNAcentral is "long non-coding RNA (BNAP_LNC003745)". Lineage: Eukaryota; Viridiplantae; Streptophyta; Magnoliopsida; Brassicales; Brassicaceae. The record is from RNAcentral.